RNAcentral lists this ribosomal RNA (245 nucleotides) under Klebsiella pneumoniae. RNAcentral's name for it is "partial 23S ribosomal RNA". It matches the Rfam family "Bacterial large subunit ribosomal RNA", at positions 2698 to 2925 of the family's 2925-position model. The record is from RNAcentral. Lineage: Bacteria; Pseudomonadati; Pseudomonadota; Gammaproteobacteria; Enterobacterales; Enterobacteriaceae.
UGGACGCAUCACUGGUGUUCGGGUUGUCAUGCCAAUGGCACUGCCCGGUAGCUAAAUGCGGAAGAGAUAAGUGCUGAAAGCAUCUAAGCACGAAACUUGCCCCGAGAUGAGUUCUCCCUGAGACUUUAAGUCUCCUGAAGGAACGUUAAAGACGAUGACGUUGAUAGGCCGGGUGUGUAAGCGCAGCGAUGCGUUGAGCUAACCGGUACUAAUGAACCGUGAGGCUUAACCUUACAACGCCGAAG